CAGCCGCCACGGUAAUACGGAGGGUGCAAGCGUUAAUCGGAAUUACUGGGCGUAAAGCGCACGCAGGCGGUUUGUUAAGUCAGAUGUGAUAUCCCCGGGCGUAACUUGGGAACUGCAUUUGAAACUGGCAAGCUAGAGUCUUGUAGAGGGGGGUAGAAUUCCAGGUGUAGCGGUGAAAUGCGUAGAGAUCUGGAGGAAUACCGGUGGCGAAGGCGGCCCCCUGGACAAAGACUGACGCUCAGGUGCGAAAGCGUGGGGAGCAAACAGGAUUAGAUACCCCAGUAGUCCCUGUCUCUUAUAC
This 301-nucleotide ribosomal RNA is filed under the name uncultured bacterium. RNAcentral's name for it is "partial 16S ribosomal RNA". It matches the Rfam family "Bacterial small subunit ribosomal RNA", at positions 509 to 807 of the family's 1533-position model. The record is from RNAcentral.